GGAAAGGGCGCUUUUAUUAGAUCAAGACCAUUCGCCCGGCCCGCCCGGGCGUUUAGUUGAUGAACCUAGAUAACACAUCAGAUCGCAUGGUCUCCGUACCGGCGACUUAUCUUUCAAAUGCCUGACUUAUCAACUGACGAUGGUAGACUCUGUGUCUACCAUGGCUCUUACGGGUAACGGGGAAUCAGGGUUCGAUUCCGGAGAGGGAGCCUGAGAAACGGCUACCACAUCCAAGGAAGGCAGCAGGCACGCAAAUUACCCACUCCCGGCACGGGGAGGUAGUGACAAAAAAUAACGAUACGGGACUCGAUAAGAGGCCCCGUAAUCGGAAUGAGUACACUUUAAAUCCUUUAACAAGGAUCCAUUGGAGGGCAAGUCUGGUGCCAGCAGCCGCGGUAAUUCCAGCUCCAAUAGCGUAUAUUAAAAUUGUUGCGGUUAAAAAGCUCGUAGUUGGUUCUGCGUCCCACGCUGUCGGUACACCGUUUGCCGGUGACACUGGCAUGCCGUGGAAUGUCCUGUCGGUGGCGGCCGAAAUCCUAGUGUGCCGGGCUUGCUCGGUCGUACUACGGGUCUUCGGUCGCCGACUCUAUCCUGCCGCGGUGCUCUUUAUUGAGUGUCGAGGUAGGCCGACACGUUUACUUUGAACAAAUUAGAGUGCUUAAAGCAGGCAAAAAUAUCUGCCAGAAUAGUGGUGCAUGGAAUAAUGGAACAGGCCCUUGGUUCUAUUUUGUUGGUUUUCGGAACACAAGGGAAUGAUCAAUGUGGACAGGCGGGGGCAUUCGUACUGCGGCUCCGAUGAAUCGACGGGGAGCUUUCCCCGGGAACCAAAGCUUUUGGGUUCCGGGGGAAGUAUGGUUGCAAAGCUGAAACUUAAAGGAAUUGACGGAAGGGCACCACCAGGAGUGGAGCCUGCGGCUUAAUUUGACUCAACACGGGAAACCUCACCAGGUCAGGACAUUGGAAUGAUUGACAGAUUGAUAGCUCUUUCUCGAUUCAGUGGGUAGUGGUGCAUGGCCGUUCUUAGUUGGUGGAUCGAUUUGUCUGGUUAAUUCCGAUAACGAACGAGACUCUGGCCUAUUAACUAGACGUUACUGGUAUCGUAGCUACCAGCGACCAUAUCUCUUCUUAAGGGGACAGGCGGCUUUUAGCCGCACGAGAUUGAGCAAUAACAGGUCUGUGAUGCCCUUAGAUGUCCUGGGCCGCACGCGCGCUACACUGAAGGAAUCAGCGUGUGAAUUCCCUUGGCCGAAAGGUCCGGGUAACCCGCUGAACCUCCUUCGUGCUAGGAAUUGGGGCUUGCAAUUGUUCCCCAUGAACGAGGAAUUCCCAGUAAGCGCGAGUCAUAAGCUCGCGUUGAUUACGUCCCUGCCCUUUGUACACACCGCCCGUCGCUACUACCGAUUGAAUGAUUUAGUGAGGUCUUCGGACUGGCGGUAAGCCUAACCGACUUCGGUUUUGACGAACGCUGGAAAGGAUG
RNAcentral lists this ribosomal RNA (1477 nucleotides) under Lyctocoris sp. SJ-2013. RNAcentral's name for it is "SSU rRNA". It matches the Rfam family "Eukaryotic small subunit ribosomal RNA", at positions 194 to 1758 of the family's 1831-position model. The record is from RNAcentral. Lineage: Eukaryota; Metazoa; Arthropoda; Insecta; Hemiptera; Lyctocoridae.